This 425-nucleotide ribosomal RNA is filed under the name uncultured bacterium. Its description in RNAcentral is "partial 16S ribosomal RNA". It matches the Rfam family "Bacterial small subunit ribosomal RNA", at positions 354 to 796 of the family's 1533-position model. The record is from RNAcentral.
GUGGGGAAUCUUGCGCAAUGGGCGAAAGCCUGACGCAGCCAUGCCGCGUGAAUGAUGAAGGUCUUAGGAUUGUAAAAUUCUUUCACCGGGGACGAUAAUGACGGUACCCGGAGAAGAAGCCCCGGCUAACUUCGUGCCAGCAGCCGCGGUAAUACGAAGGGGUCUAUCGUUGCUCGGAAUUACUGGGCGUAAAGGGCGCGUAGGCGGACAGUUUAGUAAGAGGUGAAAGCCCAGGGCUCAACGUUGGAAUUGCCUUUGAUACUGGCUGUCUUGAGUUUGGGAGAGGUGAGUGGAAAUCCGUGUGUAGAGGUGAAAUUCGUAGAUAUUCGGAAGAACACCAGUGGCGAAGGCGACUCACUGGCCCAAUACUGACGCUGAGGCGCGAAAGCGUGGGGAGCAAACAGGAUUAGAUACCCGUGUAGUCC